Molecule: ribosomal RNA, 236 nt
Filed under: uncultured Glomus
Lineage: Eukaryota; Fungi; Glomeromycota; Glomeromycetes; Glomerales; Glomeraceae
Description: partial 18S ribosomal RNA
Rfam family: Eukaryotic small subunit ribosomal RNA (bases 40-236)
Source: RNAcentral
GGAUCAAGGGAUCGGUCAUGCCUCCGGUAUGUACUGGUCUCACUGAUUCCUCCUUCCUGAUGAACCGUAAUGCCAUUAAUUUGGUGUUGCGGGGAAUUUGGACUGUUACUUUGAAAAAAUUAGAGUGUUUAAAGCAAGCUAACGCUUGAAUACAUUAGCAUGGAAUAAUGAAAUAGGACGUUCGAUCCUAUUUUGUUGGUUUCUAGGAUUGACGUAAUGAUUAAUAGGGAUAGUUG